AUGAAAGAACAGAACAGGGUACGUAGUGGCAUGGCCUCCGGUCAUGCCGUGGUCUGCUGGGGAGGAAGCAGCAAGAAGAGAGACGCUGGUCGACUGGACAGACUGGUGAGGAGAGCUGGCUCAGUGGUGGGCCCAGAGCUGGACUCUCUGGUGACAGUGGCAGAAAAGAAGGACCCUGGACAAAGUGCGGUCCAUACUGGACAACGCCAACCACCCACUGCACAACACCUUCACCAGGCAGAGGAGUGUGUUCAGUGGCCGACUGCUGUCCCAGUCCAGCUCCACCAACAGACUGAAAAACUCUUUGGUCCCCCUGGCCAUUAGACUGUACAACAGCUCCUAGUCAAGGCAGGGAGGACAAUAGAAUAGGACAAUUUAUUUCUACCUUCAUUUGCAAAUCCAUUUUGCACCGUUCCCGUUUUGCACUGUCGUAAAGCUUUUUUUUUUAUAGUUAUAGUUUAAUAUUUAAUUUAAUUUUGUAUUUUUAUUUUAUGUAGGAUUGAUGUAUGUUUAAUGUAUGUAUGUUUGUAAAUGCUGCUGGAUGCCGAUAAAUAAAGUAUCUACUUCUACUACUACUACUGUAUUACUGGGGAUUGGACUUUGGUUUUACUGGGACAUGUUAGCUUUUAGGUUAGCCUCUACCAAAAGAGACUGUCAGUAGUGUGUUCUUAGUUAGUUAGCUGGCUUGCUAACGAUUAGCCCCUGAUAAGCUCACAUUCAAGUGCCCUGGGCUGACAUUGAGCUGACAUACCUCCCGAUUGUUGGCUUGUACGGACGUGUGACAUUAGCUGGAAGCCGGUGGUUUUUUUUUUUAUUAAGGUCUCACGUAAAUAUUCCAUAACGCAAAAGAUUGGGGGCGGAAAAGUAAAAUAUGCUAAAGUCAUUAAAUAGUGUGAGAAUUGGCCCGGGACCUCGCGCUCGGUCGGAACUUGGCAGUGUGACACCCGCCGGAAGUGAACAGGCGAAGCAUCUGCAGCGGCGCAGCUCUGGAAUCACAGAUCCGCAGUGCAAUCCAGCUGUUAGCUGGAGGACGGUGCUGUGGUUGUGUCGCUGGUAAAAAAAUAAAUAAUAAUAAUUAGAAUCAUAAUA
Molecule: long non-coding RNA, 1089 nt
Filed under: Scophthalmus maximus (turbot)
Lineage: Eukaryota; Metazoa; Chordata; Actinopteri; Pleuronectiformes; Scophthalmidae
Description: lncRNA (ENSSMAG00000024614.1)
Source: RNAcentral